Molecule: ribosomal RNA, 301 nt
Filed under: uncultured bacterium
Lineage: Bacteria
Description: partial 16S ribosomal RNA
Rfam family: Bacterial small subunit ribosomal RNA
Source: RNAcentral
CAGCCGCCGCGGGAAUACGUAGGGUGCAAGCGUUAAUCGGAAUUACUGGGCGUAAAGCGUGCGCAGGCGGUUUUGUAAGUCUGUCGUGAAACCCCCGGGCUCAACCUGGGAAUGGCGAUGGAGACUGCAAGGCUAGAAUCUGGCAGAGGGGGGUAGAAUUCCACGUGUAGCAGUGAAAUGCGUAGAUAUGUGGAGGAACACCGAUGGCGAAGGCAGCCCCCUGGGCUAAGAUUGACGCUCAUGCACGAAAGCGUGGGGAGCAAACAGGAUUAGAUACCCCCGUAGUCCCUGUCUCUUAUAC